UCUGGGUUUGCCUGUGUGUCUGUCCUGGAGUGUGUUUCAGGUGUCCUGGAACGCACCCUGUCUGGUUGCCGGGCGAAUUAGCUCAUUGGGAGAUUGRUUUCACCCGCACCUGUUUCCCGUCAGUAAUCUGCACACCUGUCCUGAUCAUCAUCUCUACCCUUCAWAAGCUCUGACCUGACUUCCAUUCCCUGCCGGAUCGUUAGCCAUGAAUAUUACUCACCUGGAUCAUUCACUCCAUUCCCGCCUGGUUGACAGAGGAUUCUGCUACUACAUUGGAUUCACCUAUUUCCUUUCAUCUACUCACCACCGCUGCCCGCUACGCCAUCUGGAUAUAUCUACCUUUUCACAUUUAAUUGUAAAUAAAUACUCACCUUCUUCCUA
This is a non-coding RNA of Salvelinus sp. IW2-2015, 381 nucleotides long. The record is from RefSeq and is a predicted model, not a curated record. NCBI's taxonomy places the organism in Eukaryota, Metazoa, Chordata, Actinopteri, Salmoniformes, Salmonidae.